This 69-nucleotide transfer RNA is filed under the name Fukomys damarensis (Damara mole-rat). It matches the Rfam family "tRNA". Rfam says of the family: Transfer RNA (tRNA) molecules are approximately 80 nucleotides in length. The record is from Rfam by way of RNAcentral. Lineage: Eukaryota; Metazoa; Chordata; Mammalia; Rodentia; Bathyergidae.
UGGGGUAUAGCUCAAUGGUAGAGCACUUGUCUGGCAUAUACAAGGCCCUGGGUUCAAUCCCUACCACAC